UACGUAGGUGGCGAGCGUUGUCCGGAUUUACUGGGCGUAAAGCGCCCGUAGGCGGCCUGACAAGUUGGACGUGAAAGCUCCUGGCUUAACUGGGAGAGGCCGUUCAAAACUGUCAAGCUAGAGUCUGGAAGAGGAGAGCGGAAUUCCCGGUGUAGUGGUGGAAUGCGUAGAGAUCGGGAGGAACACCAGUGGCGAAAGCGGCUCUCUGGUCCAAAACUGACGCUGAGGGGCGAAAGCGUGGGGAGCGAACGGG
RNAcentral lists this ribosomal RNA (253 nucleotides) under uncultured bacterium. Its description in RNAcentral is "partial 16S ribosomal RNA". It matches the Rfam family "Bacterial small subunit ribosomal RNA", at positions 524 to 776 of the family's 1533-position model. The record is from RNAcentral.